RNAcentral lists this ribosomal RNA (201 nucleotides) under uncultured Staphylococcus sp. Its description in RNAcentral is "partial 16S ribosomal RNA". It matches the Rfam family "Bacterial small subunit ribosomal RNA", at positions 157 to 355 of the family's 1533-position model. The record is from RNAcentral. Lineage: Bacteria; Bacillati; Bacillota; Bacilli; Caryophanales; Staphylococcaceae.
CCGGAGCUAAUACGAUAAUAUUUGAACCGCAUGGUUCAAAGUGAAAGACGGUCUUGCUGUCACUUAUAGAUGGAUCCGCGCUGCAUUAGCUAGUUGGUAAGGUAACGGCUUACCAAGGCAACGAUGCAUAGCCGACCUGAGAGGGUGAUCGGCCACACUGGAACUGAGACACGGUCCAGACUCCUACGGGAGGCAGCAGCC